RNAcentral lists this unclassified non-coding RNA (439 nucleotides) under Alexandrium tamarense. Its description in RNAcentral is "partial 3' external transcribed spacer". The stretch from base 162 to 407 matches the Rfam family "Eukaryotic large subunit ribosomal RNA", at positions 105 to 358 of the family's 3401-position model. The record is from RNAcentral. Lineage: Eukaryota; Dinophyceae; Gonyaulacales; Pyrocystaceae.
UUCGCAUGCACACAACAACACCGGGCUUGCGUGCAUGAGCAUUCAGAGGCGGGGCACAUAGUGAAUUAUCUUCCAUAUGCAGUACUGCUGUUUAGCAUUGCUGUGAACAAGGAGAGUCAAUGUGUAUUGCAUUGAACCUGGAUGUGUUGCAGCUGCUUCGCAACCUAAGCAUGGAGCUAUUGGCUUUGAAUUGUAUUGUGGAAAUGUAUUACCAACAGACGUGCAGGUGCCAGCCUAUUGACAUAGAGCGUCAAUGAGGGUGAGAAUCCUGUUUGUCAUGUGCAGCCCUUUGUGCACGGUGUAAAUUUGCUGAGUCACACUCCUUGGCGUUGGAAUGCUAAGUCGGUGGUAAGUGUCAUGUAAAGGUAACCAUGCAAUUGGGACUGAUAGCACAGAGUACCAUGAGGGACACUGACAAGGACUGUAACCGAUAAUCAAU